Eleginops maclovinus (Patagonian blennie) is the source of this 1371-nucleotide long non-coding RNA. RefSeq lists it as uncharacterized. The transcript is spliced from 3 exons. Lineage: Eukaryota; Metazoa; Chordata; Actinopteri; Perciformes; Eleginopidae. The record is from RefSeq and is a predicted model, not a curated record.
CACUUUCUUUUUAAGUCACAUGUUUCAAGAGCUAAAAUGAUGGAGAUGACCUUCAUUCAUUACCUGGGAGUUUCCUCUGAGAACUGGCUGCCAGAGUACCAAAGUUGCAGCACCUCCUCUGGUUGGGAGUUGAGCUGACCCAGGACGUUCACCAGCAGGAGACAAUGAGGAAGCUCGUGUUCAGGAGAUAACCCUGCACACAAACAGAACCAGGGACGUUUCAAGAUGGUCCUGCUGGAGGACGACUUCAGCAAAAGGCCUUAAAGGCAACAGCUGGAGCAAGAAGGCAUCCAUAGGAACCAGAGCCGCUGUAUUCAGCUCCCCGGUCAGAGCCGAAGGAAGAGCUGGAGCACACAGGCUGGGAGGGAACUUACUGAAAGACAUCAGACCCUUUACUACCUGUAGUCCAGCGUGUUUGAUCUGUUCAGCGAGCUCUACAGAGGUGUGGAAGGAGGCCAGCAGGUUGUCACAGAGGCUGCUGCUGAUGUCUCCGUGAUGCAGAUGCUCCUCCACCAAUGACUGGUACUUCAGACUCUGUCUAAACAGAUGUGACCAAAGGAACUAUUAAAUGAUUGCCAAUACUUACAACAAAGUGAUUCAUCUCACAGAUAACAUGACAGUGACAUAAGACAUGGGACUGACUUGAUGACAAACUUCCAUGUGUUUGCAUGCAGUGCCAUGUCCAGGUUGGAGAUAAUCGAGCAGAUAUCCAGCAGGUUGUGAAUCACUGAGGAAGAUAAAAAAAUAACUUUUGACAUCAGAAGGGAUGGAAAACACACACACAAACACACCCACACACACACACACACACACACACCUGUCACAAUGUCAGAGACCUCUUCCUCCGAGGCGCUGCUGUCCAGUGCGAUCCGCUCCAGCAGCUCCAGCAGAGCCUUCUGGAGGGAGUAGGCCUCCUUAAAGAGUCCCUGCAGCAGGUCGGCCACCAGGGACAGACGGCCGCAAUACACCACCUCACUCUCCUGAGGACGACAUGCACAGUACGCUCAAAUCGUUUUCAUUUAGACACAUUUUCACACAAAUAAAAGAACAACUCUUUUUUAUUGAUUUUAAUACAACUAGGAACGUAAUGUAUGUUUCCUUUCCAUCCCUGCGACAAACCGAGAUGCUUAUCACAGUAGCUUCCUGUUGUGAGGUUAUCAUUAGCUGUUACACGUCUGGUACUAAAUGAUUGCAUAAGAAGAAAGAGGAAAAGGAAGUACAAAUGAGUCCCUAUAGGAAAGUUUGUGCUACACUUUUGUUCAGUGUCACUUGAAGUGUUUUCUAUUACAGCUUUUACUUGUUUUUUAAACGUCUCAAUAAACCGAAACAAAAAGAUCAAAUCCCAUCUUAUGUUUCCAAUAAAAACUGAAA